This 520-nucleotide ribosomal RNA is filed under the name uncultured bacterium. RNAcentral's name for it is "partial 16S ribosomal RNA". It matches the Rfam family "Bacterial small subunit ribosomal RNA", at positions 28 to 507 of the family's 1533-position model. The record is from RNAcentral.
GACGAACGCUGGCGGCGUGCCUAAUACAUGCAAGUCGAACGCACUCUCGUUUAGAUUGAGGGAGUUUGCUCCUGAUUGAUAAACAUUUGAGUGAGUGGCGGACGGGUGAGUAACACGUGGGUAACCUGCCCUAAAGUGGGGGAUAACAUUUGGAAACAGAUGCUAAUACCGCAUAAAACCUAACACCGCAUGGUGUAGGGUUGAAAGAUGGUUUCGGCUAUCACUUUAGGAUGGACCCGCGGUGCAUUAGUUAGUUGGUGAGGUAAAGGCUCACCAAGACCGUGAUGCAUAGCCGACCUGAGAGGGUAAUCGGCCACACUGGGACUGAGACACGGCCCAGACUCCUACGGGAGGCAGCAGUAGGGAAUCUUCCACAAUGGACGAAAGUCUGAUGGAGCAACGCCGCGUGAGUGAAGAAGGUUUUCGGAUCGUAAAACUCUGUUGUUGGAGAAGAAUGUAUCUGAUAGUAACUGAUCAGGUAGUGACGGUAUCCAACCAGAAAGCCACGGCUAACUACGUG